This 428-nucleotide ribosomal RNA is filed under the name uncultured bacterium. Its description in RNAcentral is "bacterial SSU rRNA". It matches the Rfam family "Bacterial small subunit ribosomal RNA", at positions 355 to 776 of the family's 1533-position model. The record is from RNAcentral.
UAGGGAAUCUUCCGCAAUGGGCGAAAGCCUGACGGAGCAACGCCGCGUGAGUGAUGAAGGUUUUCGGAUCGUAAAGCUCUGUUGCCAAGGAAGAACGUCUUCUAGAGUAACUGCUAGGAGAGUGACGGUACUUGAGAAGAAAGCCCCGGCUAACUACGUGCCAGCAGCCGCGGUAAUACGUAGGGGGCAAGCGUUGUCCGGAAUUAUUGGGCGUAAAGCGCGCGCAGGCGGUUCUUUAAGUCUGGUGUUUAAACCCGAGGCUCAACUUCGGGUCGCACUGGAAACUGGGGAACUUGAGUGCAGAAGAGGAGAGUGGAAUUCCACGUGUAGCGGUGAAAUGCGUAGAUAUGUGGAGGAACACCAGUGGCGAAGGCGACUCUCUGGGCUGUAACUGACGCUGAGGCGCGAAAGCGUGGGGAGCAAACAGG